This 259-nucleotide long non-coding RNA is filed under the name Mytilus galloprovincialis (Mediterranean mussel). Lineage: Eukaryota; Metazoa; Mollusca; Bivalvia; Mytilida; Mytilidae. The record is from RNAcentral.
AGGGAAAAACUGAUAUCAUUACUUACUGGCUCGUCAGAAAAAGUGGCGAUGCAAAUCAUCGAGUUCACGAACUUGAUACAGAUAAACGACAAGGAAGACAGGGGGACGGGAAUGAAGAAGACUUCCCAGGGGAAAUUGCUGCAGUGCAAGAAUCAAAUGAAUACGUGCCUGCCAAGAGUAAUGGAAAGACUAAAGAGGAUAACAGGAACACCGCUAGAGUUGCACCAACAGUUGCGGAAAAAGAAAAAGAGAAGAAAGC